This 501-nucleotide long non-coding RNA is filed under the name Astyanax mexicanus (Mexican tetra). RNAcentral describes it as "lncRNA (ENSAMXG00005010449.1)". The record is from RNAcentral. Lineage: Eukaryota; Metazoa; Chordata; Actinopteri; Characiformes; Acestrorhamphidae.
CCAAAAACAUAUUCUUGCUCUAUAAAAAGAAAAGUUUCUUACUCAAUAAAAUGGUGCUAUAGAUUUGUCAUGCUUUUAUAUCUUUGUUGUAUAAGUGGAUUAAAUAUUUUUCAUGUUCGUAAAACAAUAUCAGCAGUUCCAGAUUUAGUGUAGUAGGGUCACCUAUGGUCAGUCUGAUCCAGCAGAACAGUCAUUAAUUGAAUUUUUUUUCUCUUGGAAUUCCUGUAGCCUGCUUACGGGAUCCUCUCUAACACGAUGGAUGCGGUUGAACCAUCCGACUUAACUUCAAAAGCUGAGAAGACAACCAAAGCUUCUUCUACUUUUAAGGAUGGAACCUUCCAUCUGUUCAGGAACCUCAUCAUGUGCUUCUCCACUGCUUGGAUUUCAUCAGUGCUCCAAGGUGUUUUCUUACAGGGACCUAUAAAAUAAAAUGAAAAUUGACAUUUUAUGCAUAUAGUGUCUUAAAAGCUCAGAUCUUUAAUAAAAUCAGCAUUUGCCACA